Seonamhaeicola sp. S2-3 is the source of this 126-nucleotide regulatory RNA element. It matches the Rfam family "SAM riboswitch aptamer (S box leader)". Rfam says of the family: The SAM riboswitch is found upstream of a number of genes which code for proteins involved in methionine or cysteine biosynthesis in Gram-positive bacteria. The SAM riboswitch acts at the level of transcription termination control. The predicted structure consists of a complex stem-loop region followed by a single stem loop terminator region. NCBI's taxonomy places the organism in Bacteria, Pseudomonadati, Bacteroidota, Flavobacteriia, Flavobacteriales, Flavobacteriaceae. The record is from Rfam.
AUGUUAUCAAGAAAGGUGGAGGGAUUAGACCCAAUGAAACCUUAGCAACCCUUUAAACUUAUUAAAGAAGGUGCUAAAUUCUACUUAAACUACCAAUUCAUUUAUUGGUGUUUGGAUAGAUAACUU